UUUUUUGUAUAUUUUUUAUUGGAGUUUGAUUUGCCAAUAUAUAACACCCAGUGCUCAUCAAGUGCCCCCCUCAGUGCCCGUUCAUUUUUAUCUUUGUAAUAACACUGUGGUAAUAUUCUGUUGACAAGCUUGUCUCCAUCAUUUUAUAAUAAGAUGUACCCCUAGCAUCAAGUAUUGCAACUAGCAUAUAAAACAUAAAACUAUUGGGACAGAAAUCAAAUCAUUGGCUGACAGGAACUAGGGAAAUGGGGAGAAAACUGGUAAUAGACAAGAUGGAACUUUUUAGGGUGAUAAACAUGUUUUGUAUCUAGUUGUGGUAUUAAAAUGACCACAUAUAUUUGUCAAAAGUCAUUGAACUAUACACCUAAAAGUGGUAUUUUAUACUGUAUAUAAAUUAUACCUCAAAAUAAACAUGUAUUAUAAAAACUAUAUAAGAAUAAGGAAAUGGUGGGACACCUGGGUGGCUCAGAAGUUGAGCAUCUGCCUUAGCUUAGGCCAAGAUCCUGGAGUUCCAGGAUCCAGUCCCACAUCAGGCUCCCUGCGUGGAGCCUGCUUCUCCCUCUGUCUCUGCCACUCUCUCUGUCAUGAAUAAAUAAAUAAAAUCUUUUUAAAAAAUAAGGAAAUGGACAUGAAUAAAUGCAAGACACAUUGCUAUAUUUACCUGAGAUUUAAUUUUCUUUAUAUGCUUAGUUUUUUUAAGCACCAUCUAAAACCAAAGCAAUGCUUAGCACAAAUAAAACCUGAUUGCUGGGCAUUUUAGGUAAGCCAGUAAGACUUUUGGAACAAAGAUAUUUCUAGGAAUUCUGAAAUUAUUUUUUAUCAUCUACCUAAGUAGAAAAGUGCUCAAUAUCUAUUUUUUAGAGACAACUUUAGUAUUGAUUCUAACAUGAUAUCAAGUAAUCCUUCCUAGUACUCUAACUCAAAAGUACUUUGCAGUCAGUCUCGGAAAUAUCUUAUGUUGAUAUUAAGAGAAGAGAGCAAGGGUACUAUAGAAAUUUCAAAUGAAGCCAAACUCUGCAUAUGUAAAACUUAUAUUUUGUCUACACUUUAUUUUAUCACAUUAGAUUUCUGAUCUUCUUACAUAUGUUUUAAGAUUAUCUGUCUAGAGAGUUAACUUUACACACUUUUAACAUCAUGGUAAUCUUUUUUAAAAAAAUAUUUUAUUCAUUUAUUCAUGAGAGACACACACACAGAGGCACAGAUACAGGCAGAGGGAGAAGCAAGCUCUAUGCAGGGCGCCCAAUGUGGGACUUGAUCCUGGGACCCCAGGAUCAUGCCCUGGGCCAAAGGCAGGUGCUAAACCACUGAGCAACCCAGGUAUCCCACAUCAUAGUAAACUUAAAAUAAAUUAAACUGAUGUUGAGUUAGAGUUAUGAUAGAUUACUAACUUACCUUUGCUUCAUAAAGACUGGGUUUCUCUUAAGACAUAAAUUUAAAUGUUUACUACUUCUAAAUACCAGUGAAAGACAGUAUAUACCUAUGCAGGUAUGAACACACAGCACCCAUCUCACCCCUCUUGCAUUUCAGUCUCUGCUCAGAAAAGGCACAAUCCUAAAAUUAAAAGUGAAACUUUAAACCUCUAUAGAGUAUCAUUGUACAUUACCUGGAGCAAUGUCUGAGAUCACAUAAAGUUCACAGUUGUUUCAUUUCUUCUUGCUCAAUUUUUUUAAAGUCAGCAUUUUCUACAGCACCUGUACGGCAGGUUUGGCCCAUGUCUGUUUUCCAGUUCUGCUUAUCAGCUAAAACAUGGGCUGAGUUAUUAUCAUUUAAUCUUUCCAAGAGUCAAUUUUUUCAUUUAUAAUAUGUACAAAUAACAUCUUCAUGAGUAUAGUUAAGAUUAAAUGAAAUGAUAUCUGUCUUUUAUAAACAUAACAUG
This 1876-nucleotide long non-coding RNA is filed under the name Canis lupus familiaris (dog). RNAcentral describes it as "lncRNA (ENSCAFG00000058471.1)". The record is from RNAcentral. Lineage: Eukaryota; Metazoa; Chordata; Mammalia; Carnivora; Canidae.